This 239-nucleotide long non-coding RNA is filed under the name Elaeis guineensis (African oil palm). Its description in RNAcentral is "long non-coding RNA (EGUI_LNC023450)". The record is from RNAcentral. Lineage: Eukaryota; Viridiplantae; Streptophyta; Magnoliopsida; Arecales; Arecaceae.
GCUAUCCUAUUUUAGUUAGUUUGCCUCUAGUCGGCCUUCAUUGGUUGGCAUUCUUAAAUCAAUCUUUUCAUUUUGACUUUCAAAAACUUGGCUUCGAGAGAUCGAUCUUCGGAAGCUUCGACUUUUAAAAGCUCACUUUUGAGGGAUUGUCCUUUGGAGGUUGAUUUUUAAGCGAUUGACUUUGAUCUUUGUGUCAGUUCUAUCUUGAUCUUCAUCUCAGCUCGAUCUUGAUCUUCACC